Molecule: long non-coding RNA, 1382 nt
Filed under: Equus caballus (horse)
Lineage: Eukaryota; Metazoa; Chordata; Mammalia; Perissodactyla; Equidae
Description: lncRNA (ENSECAG00000059792.1)
Source: RNAcentral
AUAAUCAUCGUAACAGUGAACUUCUCAUUGUCUUGGACAAUUUCCUCUGGGUUCAUGUUUCUGGGCCUCAGAGAUCAUCCUCCAGAUUGAAAUGCUCGCUCUCUUCCUCUUUCCUGAGACCCCACGUAUUCAUUUUGCUACUAUAGUUUGCACGUUUUCCAUCAGCUAAUGAUGGAUUCACGGUGGGUGUUGCUAGUUUUCCUUAUCUCAUGAUCAUCUUGGGCAGGAGAGACAUUCCUGCCCUAGAAGAAAGUUGUUCAAACCCAGUCCUAGAAUUCCAGAGUCUUCGAGCUGUGAGGAACCUUAGAAUCUGCCCUCCACACCCAGCAUCCUCUUGCCACAACACCUGCAGCUUGGGCCACACUCUCGGAUCCCAGGUUUGGGCCACUGAGCCACCCCAGUGGAAAUACUUCCCCGUGCCAGGCCCAGCAGCUGACGGGUGUGGAGGCACCAACCAAGCAGACAGUCGCCCCAGGGGCAGCCCCUGACAUGGCCAAAGCAGGUGCUGCCCACUACCAUUUUGUUUUUUGGGUUUUUUUUUGAGAAAGAUUAGCCCUGAGCUAACUACUGCCAAUCCUCUUUUUGCUGAGGAAGACUGUUCCUGAGCUAACAUCCGUGCCCAUCUUCCUCUAAUUUAUACGUGGGACGCCUACCACAGCAUAGCGUGCCAAGCGGUGCCAUGUCCGCACCCGGGAUCCGAAUCAGCAAACCCGGGCCGCAGAGAAGCAGAACGUCUUAACCGCUGCACCACCUGGCCACCCUGCCCACUACUGUUAACAUGCAGAGACAGGUGCCACUUCUGAGCAUUUGCGUGGCGCCCGUUGAGCCAUCUCCCAGUGGUUUGGUGAUCCCACCUCCUCCUCCUGACGGCCUCUCGAGGCCACUGUGGGCAGCCUCUGCUCAGCGGCGAGGAACCGAGGCUGGGAGAGCUGGGCCUGACCUGUGCCAGAGCUGCCAACCCCUUGGAGGAGGUGACAGGGGACAUCUGGCAGGUGCAGAGAUGGAGAAACCAGAACCCACCUGUUCUCUGGGAGCCCAAGCAAGGGACGCAAGGGAACCAGCUACAGAAUAAUUAUAAUGCCUCCCAAGCUCAACGAUUCCCAAGGUGUGGAGGGCACACGUGUGUAAAAUGGGAAGUGGUAUUGGAGCACAUGUGGACAUGGCAUAAAUAACACUGAAUCACAAAGGACAGAGUCACGCCCUUUUCAAUGAUCUUUUAACCCUUCAGAUAAAGCACAGAGAAUGUCUCAGUUUGGUGCUAACAGGUCUUUAACACCUUUCUUGAAUCCCACCUCCUCUAAAAGGAAAAAAGAAGAUAGAGACCCAAGUCUCCAGCUGUAAUAAUAUUGAGCCAGAAAUUGGAAACAUUGCUUUCAUUGUAU